GGCCGGAUAAGGCGUUUACGCCGCAUCCGGCAAUCAACGCCUGAUGCGUCGCUGUCGCGUCUUAUCAGGCC
RNAcentral lists this non-coding RNA (71 nucleotides) under Escherichia coli. Its description in RNAcentral is "Nucleoid-associated noncoding RNA 4 (CssrE)". It matches the Rfam family "Nucleoid-associated noncoding RNA 4 (CssrE)". From Rfam's summary of the family: In E. coli small RNA transcribed from repeated extragenic palindromic element (REP325) called nucleoid-associated ncRNA 4 (nRNA4) collaborates HU protein in condensing the DNA. The secondary structure but not the sequence of the RNA is important in nucleoid condensation. The record is from RNAcentral. Lineage: Bacteria; Pseudomonadati; Pseudomonadota; Gammaproteobacteria; Enterobacterales; Enterobacteriaceae. RNAcentral also lists the same sequence under 1 other name.